CAGCCGCGGUAAUACGGAGGGUGCAAGCGUUAAUCGGAAUUACUGGGCGUAAAGCGCACGCAGGCGGUUUGUUAAGUCAGAUGUGAAAUCCCCGGGCUCAACCUGGGAACUGCAUCUGAUACUGGCAAGCUUGAGUCUCGUAGAGGGGGGUAGAAUUCCAGGUGUAGCGGUGAAAUGCGUAGAGAUCUGGAGGAAUACCGGUGGCGAAGGCGGCCCCCUGGACGAAGACUGACGCUCAGGUGCGAAAGCGUGGGGAGCAAACAGGAU
This 267-nucleotide ribosomal RNA is filed under the name Bacteroides thetaiotaomicron. RNAcentral's name for it is "partial 16S ribosomal RNA". It matches the Rfam family "Bacterial small subunit ribosomal RNA", at positions 512 to 778 of the family's 1533-position model. The record is from RNAcentral. Lineage: Bacteria; Pseudomonadati; Bacteroidota; Bacteroidia; Bacteroidales; Bacteroidaceae.